RNAcentral lists this ribosomal RNA (460 nucleotides) under uncultured bacterium. Its description in RNAcentral is "partial 16S ribosomal RNA". It matches the Rfam family "Bacterial small subunit ribosomal RNA", at positions 338 to 795 of the family's 1533-position model. The record is from RNAcentral.
CCUACGGGGGGCAGCAGUGAGGAAUAUUGGUCAAUGGACGAGAGUCUGAACCAGCCAAGUAUCGUGAAGGAUGACUGCCCUAUGGGUUGUAAACUUCUUUUAUAUGGGAAUAAAAUGUUCCACGUGUGGGAUUUUGUAUGUACCAUAUGAAUAAGGAUCGGCUAACUCCGUGCCAGCAGCCGCGGUAAUACGGAGGAUCCGAGCGUUAUCCGGAUUUAUUGGGUUUAAAGGGAGCGUAGGUGGAUUGUUAAGUCAGUUGUGAAAGUUUGCGGCUCAACCGUAAAAUUGCAGUUGAAACUGGCAGUCUUGAGUACAGUAGAGGUGGGCGGAAUUCGUGGUGUAGCGGUGAAAUGCUUAGAUAUCACGAAGAACUCCGAUUGCGAAGGCAGUUCACUGGACUGCAACUGACACUGAGGCUCGAAAGUGUGGGUAUCAAACAGGAUUAGAUACCCCUGUAGUC